This is a non-coding RNA of Podarcis lilfordi (Lilford's wall lizard), 703 nucleotides long. NCBI's taxonomy places the organism in Eukaryota, Metazoa, Chordata, Lepidosauria, Squamata, Lacertidae. The record is from the annotation of a GenBank genome assembly.
CCUGCAAUGUAGGAAUCUCAAGUAAAGCACCCAUGACAGAUGGCCAUCCAAUCUCUGCUUAAAAACCUCCAAGGAAGGAGAGUCCACAACCUCCUGAGGGAGUCCGCUCUACUGUUGAAAAGCUCUUAUUUUCAAAAAGUCGGAAUCUCCUUUCUUUCUCCAGAGCAGGAAAAAACAAGCUUGCUCCAUCCUCCAUGUGACAGCCCCUAAGAUAUUUGAAGACGGCUAUUAUAUCUCCUCUGUCUCCUCUUUUCCAAGCUAAACAACCCAAAGCCCUCAACUGUUCCUCAUAAGGUAGCCCUCCUCUGCACACGUUUCAGCUUGUCCAUAUCCUCAUUUUCAAUUUCUCGUACUAAUUUCUCAUUUGUCAAGUUCAGUUUGUGAUUUCGUCACGGAAAAUUGUCAGCAUUUUAAGUGUGCACUCCUCCUAAUAUACACAUUCUUGCAAGAAACUUUGCUUAAUAUUAUGCAUCGUUAUAUUAUUAUCACUAAUAUAUGUAUUUUAAUGCACACUUUCCCCUAAUAUAUGCAUUUUGUACAAAUAUUUUGCUUGGAAACUGCAUUGCAAAACUUUUGGUUCAUAUUUUAUUUAGGGUUGGAUUUAAGGAUAUCAAAGAAAAAAUAAUAUGUUUGCUCCAUUUUCCUUGGUAAAGUUUCAUUCAUUUUGUUUUUGUCUCCCCCCCCCCCCCAAGCUGGUUUAUCC